RNAcentral lists this ribosomal RNA (342 nucleotides) under Triticum aestivum (bread wheat). Its description in RNAcentral is "partial small subunit ribosomal RNA". Lineage: Eukaryota; Viridiplantae; Streptophyta; Magnoliopsida; Poales; Poaceae. The record is from RNAcentral.
AUGCAUAGCAACCUCUGUGAGAAAGAACAGAACAGAACAGAAAUGAAAGAACACAUUACCUACAGCCACUAUCCUAGAAGCACUACUAAUUUUCAUGAUUUGAUGAGUAUUUUCAUAAUGCCCCCUGUUCUGAAAUCACAAAUCAUCAAGGGUGUGUGGGUAUUCAUCAUUAUACCAUAUCCUACAGAAUCUUUUGGUAAUAAAUUUCUUCCUUCUCAUUUCCAACUACCGUCGAACCCGAAAUUUGACUCACAAAAAGAAUGCGAAAGGGAGGAAUUUACAGGACUAGUGUGUGUAGAUAAAACGAUCAAGCUAUCUGAUAACAAUUCACUCGUUGAUUAA